RNAcentral lists this long non-coding RNA (1695 nucleotides) under Sus scrofa (pig). RNAcentral's name for it is "lncRNA (ENSSSCG00040054271.1)". The record is from RNAcentral. Lineage: Eukaryota; Metazoa; Chordata; Mammalia; Artiodactyla; Suidae.
CGGGGAGGGAGAGGUUGGAGACAGGGAAAGGAGGAAGGGAUGAGAGGAGGGAAAAUCCCCAAGGAUGGAAAACAGGAGGUCAAAGCCCCAAAUAUGGCCACCCAACUGGGGGGUCCAAGUUAGGGCCUGUAUAGGGCUCUGGGGGCUCAGAACAGCUGCCCACUCACCCCAGCAGCCGGUAUGAGUCACUGGGGUGGUGGUGGGGUAGGAAAUAGCCCAAACUGGCAGUGCGGGAAAGGGAGCAGGGCCAGCACGUUCCUCAGGAUCCCUAGGGGGUGGAGGAGCAGGGUCCAGCCUGGGCUCUGAGCCCUGAACCCCAUCCUCUAAGCAGGACAAGGGCACAGAGAAGUUGUCCCACCCUUUGUAGGGCAGGCCAAGUAGUAGGAAGCCUGGGGUUUAAUGAUUGGCUUUUCUCUCCCUCUCUCAACCUGUUUCCCUUUCUGCAAAAAAAAAAAAAAAAAGUGGAGUAGGUCUUUUAAUGUUAGGGUUGGAGGCGAGGGGGAGAAACAGGAUUCAGAAACCCUUUUCUAGAUUCCUUCCAGAAAUAUGUGUGUUUGGACUUUGCCGACAGUUGAAGGCAUUCUGAAGUGCCCACAAACUCAUUCCUAGCCACCAGAUAAGAACUCCUGAAUUAGAGCUGGCCCAAGAGAAUUCCAACUGCGACAUUUAAUAGCGCCCCAGAGCAAGGGAAAGGCUUUUAUAAAGGCCGUUGGAGCCAGAGGUGGGGGCCUCCUAAGCCUGGGAGCAGCAAUACCUUUUGAUGUGUGGUUUCUUGGCGGGGGUGGGGGGGGGGGGGGGUGCUGCAGUAACAAGAUGGGAUCCUUAACCUACUUCGCCACAAGGGAACUCUCAGGUGUGGUUUCUUUCUACCAUCAGGGGUGUGUGAGCAGAAGCUGGAGACCCCUGGGUGGAAUAAGGAAGAUUUUAUCCAAAUGGCAGCUGACUUUCCUGCCCGGGCCCCCUCUUGCUGCGUCUGCCUGUCCUUGCCUUUCUGUCCUUAAUUCUGAGGGAGGAGUGUUUCAGAGGAUCCUGGAGCACAGGUGACCGGCUCUCUCCCACUGAAGCUGCUGGUGAAGACAAACCAGCGACAAGACCCGGUCAGAGGGGCUGGCGCUGCCCCACGCCCCUCUGCCAGCUGACGCCUCCUGCUAAAAACAGCGGGGCCCGGGGGGACUAUGGGCUUUCAGGCUUCCCCCUCCACGCCAGGACAGGUAUUAAAGAGGCCGACGCCCAGCCAGGCCGACUGGACACCAUGCUCUUCACCGAGACGGCCCACUUCGUGGUGAAUUUUCUUCUGUACCGGCGCCCCCGGGCCACUCUCCCGUACCGCCUGGACCAGGAGUUGUGUUUCUGGGGCUGCCGGGGCCCGGCCUUGCCGCCUGUCGCCACCCGCAGCAGCCUGGGCGAUUACUGGCUGAGCCCGCAGCGCCGGCGCCCACCGGGCGCCACCUGGCGCUGGCCCGCUCGCAAUAUGCUGCUACUGCCAGGGGCCACCGGGCUGGCGGAUAUACCCUCGGCGCGCUGGCCCAGCUGCUACGGCGUUCGCCCGCGCCUCACGUGAGCAGCCGGGUUGGGGCGGAGGCCCUGGAAGUGAAGGGCGGGGCCUACGGUAGGGGGCGGGGUCUGUGGGAAAGGGCGGAUCCCCAGAGCCCGGUCAGUUAGGAGUAGGAUAGGCUGGGCUGGACGGUGGCUGGG